UACGUAGGGGGCAAGCGUUGUCCGGAUUUAUUGGGCGUAAAGAGCGUGUAGGCGGCCUGGUAGGUCAGCUGUGAAAACUCGAGGCUCAACCUCGAGACGCCGGUUGAAACCAUCAGGCUAGAGUCCGGAAGAGGAGAGUGGAAUUCCCGGUGUAGCGGUGAAAUGCGCAGAUAUCGGGAAGAACACCCGUGGCUAAGGCGGCUCGCUAGUACGGUACUGACGCUGAGACGCGAAAGCGUGGGGAGCGAACAGG
Molecule: ribosomal RNA, 253 nt
Filed under: uncultured bacterium
Lineage: Bacteria
Description: partial 16S ribosomal RNA
Rfam family: Bacterial small subunit ribosomal RNA
Source: RNAcentral